GACUCACUACUGGAGAGGGGAGGCAGCUUCAAGAGGGGAGGCAGCUUCACAGCCACUGGAAGCUCGAGGAGGAAAACAGGGGCCCCAGCAGCCCGCGCCAGGGAAGCGUGGGAAACAACAGGCGCAACAGGAGCCCGCGGAGCCGGCCCAACAGAGAAACAGGUCGGACUCCUGCAGGGAAGCUCCGCCAAUGAGGCCAAGUGCCAGCAAAAUAAAGCACAACACUUAACCCACUGGAUAUUUAUCACCGACCAUGCACCUUGAAGAGACUAUGGAGUGGUAUAAGAUUGUAAAAGAGGAAGAAAGAAGAAGGGAGGGAGAAAAAGGAAGAAGAAAGAAAAGGGACAGGAGAAAGAAAGAGAAGGGACAGGAGGAAGAAAGAGAAGGAAAAAGGAAAAUGAAACAAAAGAAAGGAAGGAAAGAAGGAAAAGAAAAAAGAAACCAAAGGCACAGAAUUCCAAGUCUAGCUGGGGGUGGGGCUGGGGUAUCUGAAACUGCACACAGAAGCUCUGCUCUCAAGCUCCCCAAGGCCUCCUGGACAACUCCAAGUGUGAGUUCCAUCAAUAUCACACAACGAAAGUUUCUGAACCAUAAAGCAUCAUCUCCCUACCAAAUCUGAUUCCUAGUGGUUCAUGCUACUGACAACUCUCCUAAUUCAAAUCGUGGCCAUCUGGCUUUCCUUCUUCUCCCUUAUUUUCCAUAUCAACCAGCCACCACUUCCAUUAUUGUGUCACUGCUCUCUUUAUAUCCCUUUGCACCCCGACUGCCAGGAGGGAAACAGGCUCAGUGUGGGUGCCCAUCCUCUCCCUACGGACCAAGCCAGGAGAGUAGGUAGUAGCCAACAUGACAUCAUCAACUGAGAUGUGCCAAAGAAUCCACCGUCCUCCUGCUCAUGCCCAUGAAUAUCUCCUCCACCCACAUUUGACAGGGCUUGAAAUGUCCUUAAAAUGUUUUUUUUUAAUUGCUUCAGCAUUGCUCCAUCCUUAAGUUUAAAAACUGUAAAUGUUUCUGUUUUACAGUAACUCUUUGUGCCUCUAAAACCUUCAUAAGACUCUGUUGAUCACUCUCUUCUUCCUACACUGCUUCCUUAGGAAGAGUAGACAGUGCUGGGGUAAUGGAAAAGGGCAGCAAAACCAACCUAACCCCAUUCACAGCUUUGACUAAGGUGCUGCGCGUCUAGUUGUUGGAAUAUGCGUGGGAGUGAGGUGGCUUUCACAUGGCAGUUUCUGGUCACCCCAGAUGUACAGUGGAAUCUACCCUCUCCCAGGUUAUAACUCAACAAGCAAAGAUAUGGGAAAAGAAGAAAAUAGUUUUCUAAGAAGAAACAAAUAGAAGCCAGACCAUUCAGGGCUGGAAGAGCAGCAGUUUUCUAUUGAUAACCCCAUUCUAGUUCUACUGAUGAGGUUAAAAUAAAUGGAGUGCACCUUUUAGGUUCCCUUGA
Molecule: non-coding RNA, 1441 nt
Organism: Callithrix jacchus (white-tufted-ear marmoset)
Lineage: Eukaryota; Metazoa; Chordata; Mammalia; Primates; Cebidae
Source: RefSeq, a predicted model, not a curated record